UUUGUAUCGCUUUGGACACCCACGCGUUGACGGCGCGUGUGGUGGCGCGUGGGAUACUGUAGCAGUCAUGCAUUUGGUUACCGUUUGAGUCUCGGACGGAUUUUACCUAUUGUGCGAUUUCUGGGUUUGUUAUGUUCGGACCGUUGGAUCGAACUCAAACUGACGUAUGGUGUACCUUGUAUUUCUAGGAUCGUCUAGGAUUCGACGGAUCAUGGAUCGGAGUCCCGGAUACUCCGAAGUCGCAAACCCUAAGUCAAGAAUCUUAAUAAAAUUGUAUGUGCUUUCAAAUAUUCGUAUAUUUUAUUAAUUUGUAUGUGUAUUAAUGAAAUUGUGCAGAUGUCAGACUUGAUUAGACGUCGUAGGGCGGUGACAACUACACAAAGUUCGGAGCCCCCAGCUCAGCCGACAUCUGCUGCCACUACUCCAGCAUCUGCUGCCGUUGCGCCAGCACUAAUGGACCACUUGGCAGUUGGUCCUGCGGGGUCCCAAGCGCCUGCUUCAUCGGCUUCAUCAGUGGCGCCGCCAGGCGGCGUCAUCGGCCCGACAGCACCACCG
Molecule: long non-coding RNA, 555 nt
Filed under: Prunus persica (peach)
Lineage: Eukaryota; Viridiplantae; Streptophyta; Magnoliopsida; Rosales; Rosaceae
Description: long non-coding RNA (PPER_LNC007100)
Source: RNAcentral